Molecule: non-coding RNA, 628 nt
Organism: Crotalus tigris (Tiger rattlesnake)
Lineage: Eukaryota; Metazoa; Chordata; Lepidosauria; Squamata; Viperidae
Source: the annotation of a RefSeq genome assembly
AUUUGCAACACAAAGCUGAAUAUACACCACAGACUAGCCAAUAAAUACAUAGCAUACUUUGUUUCAUGUAAAUUACUUCCCUGUAUGGCCUUCAUUAAAUAGAAUGAAGACAGUAUUAGAAGUACCUGACAGUAUUGAAUUGCUUUUCACCUUUUACAUUAUCCUUCUUGAAAGCAUGGCUUUGAAACUGUUGAUAAAUUUCCUCAUUGUGUUCCCAGCAUGCACUACUUCAGAAAUUACAAUUACUCAAUCUGCUGCUCAAGUGAAAAGACCAGGGGAAAGGAUGAGGUUCACCUGUACAGUUUCUGGAUUUUCUCUUGGAAGCUCUGGAAUAAGCUGGAUCCGCCAGGUCUCAGGAAAGGAACUGGAAUGGAUCGGAGACAUCUGGCAUAAUGGAGGCACUGCUUAUAGCACUAUCUUUCGAAGUCAGGCCAGCAUCACAAAAGACAAUUCUAGGAGCCAAGUGAUCUUGCAGCUCAAUGCUUUAAAGGCUGAAGACACAGCUACAUAUUAUUGCAUAAGACACAAUGACAGGAACCUUCCUUCAAGCUGGUCAAAACUACCGCUGUUCAAAUUUAAGCACAGUCAUUCUCUUGUGUGUGUCCAACAGGCAGAUGGAGGAACUUAA